CUUUGGAUCAGUCUCUAUAAAAGGAAAAUAUUCUGUUAGCUGUAGACAUACCACUUUCCUGUCCCAAGCCUACCAGAUGACGACCUGAGGAGGACGUCUACCACCCGUCUAAUCUGACAUGUGGAAUUGCGUGUUCUCAAGAACACAGGUACAAACACUGUGAUGGGGCAAGACCAGAUGGCUACAGUAAAGUAGUAAGGAACAGCACCUUGCUGCCCCAGACAACAUCAGUAGAAAUGGAUCUCUCCUCUC
Long non-coding RNA from Mauremys reevesii (Reeves's turtle), 252 nucleotides. RefSeq lists it as uncharacterized. The record is from RefSeq and is a predicted model, not a curated record. The transcript has 3 exons. Lineage: Eukaryota; Metazoa; Chordata; Testudines; Geoemydidae.